Molecule: long non-coding RNA, 1118 nt
Organism: Poecilia latipinna (sailfin molly)
Lineage: Eukaryota; Metazoa; Chordata; Actinopteri; Cyprinodontiformes; Poeciliidae
Exons: 4
Source: RefSeq, a predicted model, not a curated record
UGUGCGCCUCUCUCUCAAGGACUUUGUGGCUAAUGUUGCCAUUAAGUCAUGCAAAACUGUUUGUCUUUGUGGAGGCCUGUGAUGAAUCUUCCUGAGUGUGAAAGAGGGGUUGAUUUAAUGUUUAUUUCUUCUCUUUGUCCCCCCCGCUCCCUUCUCUCUCUCUUUCUGCCAGGUUUAUUAACGCCAGAAGAAGAAUAGUACAACCCAUGAUUGACCAGUCAAAUCGAGCAGGUUUUCUUCUUGAUCCUUCAGUGAGCCAAGGAGCAGCGUACAGUCCAGAGGGCCAGCCAAUGGGCAGCUUCGUGCUGGAUGGUCAGCAACACAUGGGGAUCCGACCAGCUGGGCCUAUGAGUGGAAUGGGGAUGAAUAUGGGCAUGGAUGGGCAAUGGCACUACAUGUAACCUCCAUCUUGUAACGCAAAGAAAAAGGGGGAAGUCUGCCAGUCAUGCCAGGGGAGUUCGUACCUCAGAGAAGUCCUAUGGGCAUGAGCAUGGGCCCACCCACCUACUCCAACCCUCAUCAGAUGCCUUCUCACCCGUCGCAGCUCAGACCCGGACCACCACCUCGCCAUGCAUACCUUACCGAUCAUCCCCACGCUCCCCACACCAUGCUGAUGCACGGAGGACCCUCGUUGCACCCAGGAAUGACCAUGUCUGCACAGAGACCCCCUUUGCUCUCACCCAUUGACCCCAGUACUGGAGGAUAUGGCCUGGACAUCCACGCCCAAUAGUAAAGGGACGAAAACAGCAGCUACGACAAGAAACAUUUCCAAAAAUAAGUAAAAAACAAGGAGAGAAAAAGAAGAAAGCAGCCCCACUAUAAAUCCUAUUUUGAGACUAUUUUUAAGAAUAAAAGUGAACCCUUUUGACCAGAAUUUGACACUAAAGAAGCAGAAUUCCAGACGAGCUGUGAUUCUUUUUUUUUUUUUAAAUAAAAAAAUAUUGUCAAUUUUGUUACUUUCAACAAAAAAAAAAAAAAAAAAAAAAAAAAAAAAAGAUGGAGGACCAAGCUGACAAGAACACUUUGUAAAGUCUUGGGCUUUUGGUAAAGAUCAACACGAAAUGUUUUGACAUAUUAAAAAGUAAAAAGCAAAAAAAACAACAAAAAAAAAAACAACA